This 380-nucleotide ribosomal RNA is filed under the name uncultured eukaryote. Its description in RNAcentral is "partial 18S ribosomal RNA". It matches the Rfam family "Eukaryotic small subunit ribosomal RNA", at positions 592 to 976 of the family's 1831-position model. The record is from RNAcentral.
CAAUAGCGUAUAUUAAAGUUGUUGCGGUUAAAAAGCUCGUAGUUGGAGUUCUGCCAGGUGCCGCCUGUCCGCCCCAGUGGUGAGUACGUGGCGCGCAUUUGGCCCUUUCAAGGGGAGCGUAUCUGCACUUUAUUGUGUGGUGCGGGAUCCUUGACUUUUACUUUGAGGAAAUAGGAGUGUUCCAAGCAGGCUCUCGUCGUGCACAGCUCAGCAUGGAAUAAUAGCAUUGGACCUCGAUUCUAAGCUGUUGGUUGCCAGAAGCGAGGUAAUGAUGAAGAGGGAUAGUUGGGGGCAUUCGUACUUAACUGUCAGAGGUGAAAUUCUUGGAUUUGUUAAAGACGAACUACUGCGAAAGCAUCUGCCAUGGAUGUUUUCAUUGA